AUGACAACCGCAUGGUUGUUAUUUAAAAGAUGGUUCUGCUAUCACUAAGAGAUGGUCCCGCGGUGCAUUAGCUAGUUGGUAAGGUAAUGGCUUACCAAGGCGAUGAUGCAUAGCCGAGUUGAGAGACUGAUCGGCCACAAUGGGACUGAGACACGGCCCAUACUCCUACGGGAGGCAGCAGUAGGGAAUCUUCCACAAUGGGCGAAAGCCUGAUGGAGCAACGCCGCGUGUGUGAUGAAGGGUUUCGGCUCGUAAAACACUGUUGUAAGAGAAGAAUGACAUUGAGAGUAACUGUUCAAUGUGUGACGGUAUCUUACCAGAAAGGAACGGCUAAAUACGUGCCAGCAGCCGCGGUAAUACGUAUGUUCCAAGCGUUAUCCGGAUUUAUUGGGCGUAAAGCGAGCGCAGACGGUUAUUUAAGUCUGAAGUGAAAGCCCUCAGCUCAACUGAGGAAUUGCUUUGGAAACUGGAUGACUUGAGUGCAGUAGAGGAAAGUGGAACUCCAUGUGUAGCGGUGAAAUGCGUAGAUAUAUGGAAGAACACCAGUGGCGAAGGCGGCUUUCUGGACUGUAACUGACGUUGAGGCUCGAAAGUGUGGGUAGCAAACAGGAUUAGAUACCCUGGUAGUCCACACCGUAAACGAUGAGUGCUAGUGUUUGAGGGUUUCCGCCCUUAAGUGCCGCAGCUAACGCAUUAAGCACUCCGCCUGGGGAGUACGACCGCAAGGUGGAACUCAAGGAAUUGACGGGGACCCGCACAAGCGGUGGAGCAUGUGGUUUAAUCCGAGCCACGCCGAAGAACCU
RNAcentral lists this ribosomal RNA (803 nucleotides) under Weissella confusa. RNAcentral describes it as "bacterial SSU rRNA". It matches the Rfam family "Bacterial small subunit ribosomal RNA", at positions 179 to 971 of the family's 1533-position model. The record is from RNAcentral. Lineage: Bacteria; Bacillati; Bacillota; Bacilli; Lactobacillales; Lactobacillaceae.